AUGCCCACUUCUAUAGCACAUAUAUACUCAAAUUGGAACAAUACAGAGAAUAUUAGCAUUGACUCUGCGCAAGGAUGUCAUUCAAAUUCGUGAAGUGUUCCAUAUUUUU
Small nuclear RNA from Mastomys coucha (southern multimammate mouse), 109 nucleotides. Lineage: Eukaryota; Metazoa; Chordata; Mammalia; Rodentia; Muridae. The record is from RefSeq and is a predicted model, not a curated record.